This 407-nucleotide ribosomal RNA is filed under the name uncultured bacterium. Its description in RNAcentral is "partial 16S ribosomal RNA". It matches the Rfam family "Bacterial small subunit ribosomal RNA", at positions 28 to 526 of the family's 1533-position model. The record is from RNAcentral.
GACGAACGCUGGCGGCGUGCCUAAUACAUGCAAGUAGGACGCAGUUGCGAACGUUUGAUUAACGCGUCGGUAACUGCCUAUUAGAGGGGGAUAACUACUGGAAACGCUAGCUAAUACCGCAUACUAGUAGCUGGACCUGCGUUGUAUUAGCUAGUAGGUAGGGUAAUGGCCUAACUAGGCGACGAGACAUAGCCGACGUGAGAGGGGGAGCGGGCACACUGGGACUGGGGAACGGGCCAGACUCCUACGGGAGGCAGGAGUAGGGGAGUUUCGGAAAAUGGGGGAACCCUGAACGAGGAACGCCGGGGGAGGGAAGAAGGGUUUCGGGACGUAAAGGUCUGUUGUGAAGGAAGCGGUACUUAACCAGAAAGGGACGGCUAACUACGUGCCAGCAGCCGCGGUAAUAC